AGGCCUGAUCCAGCACCCACUGAAGUCAAUAGGAACUCCCAUGGACUUUGUUGCAUCUGAAGAAUUAGGCAUGGAACCUGUUGCAAGAAAGAUCUUCAAAGGAGUUUUACUUUUGGAAGUGGCUGGGGUUGCUGGAGCAUAUUCACUAUUUUACAGAAUGGACACAAAUCAAGAUUUUAGGCAUACAAUGAACAGGAGAUUUCCAUCCAUUCUGGAAGUUUAUUACAAAAGCAAUGAAUGGGCUGGAGUUUAUGGAAAAAGGGAGGAGGACCAACUGAAAUGGCUAAGCAGCAAAAAUUAGAAGCCUUUGUGUUUGAACUGUUUUUUCUUCUUGAUAAUAUUUUUCACAUCUCUGUUGUGAAGCCAAUUGUCACGCUCUGCUUCCCACUUGAGCUGUUUGACACCUACAAGGGAAGAGGAGGGGAUAACUUAUACUUACCUCUUCUGCAGCAGAAAGCAUGCUGAUGUCUUUGAGUUUUCUUUUCUUUUGCUGCUUUGAUCCUUCAAAUAGAAAAAAGUUAUUAAAUUGUAAUCAACAGCUAAAAUUCUACAUUCUCCCAGGCGGCACCACCACCAGACAAAAAAAAUCAUCCUUUAAUAACAUUGUCCAAAGUAUCUGAUUUCUAUUAGAAAGCUCCUAGAAAAGCAUCUAUUUAAUACAUCGAAGUAGCUAGAAUGUAACUAGAAGAUAGAAAAAUCCUCCAUCAUUUCACUGCAGAGAGAGAUAUGUGAACAGAUUUGUUUAAUAAUGUAAUACAUAUAUUGUAAUAGCAAUCUAAAGACCCAAUCAGGAUCAAGGCCCCCUAGUGCUUACAGUUGAAGACAAGUGAAAGAUGAAGGGUCAAAGGAGAGAGCUACAAUCGAAAAUAUACAAUUUUCACAUACAUGUUAGCAUUUAUAAUAAAAUGAAAGUGUUAAUUAUCUGAUAACUCCAUCUGUCCCUCAAGCAGUCAUUAAAUUGGCUGACUUCUAAUCAGUGCUGCAGCACAAAUGGGUCUUGAGAGUAAUAACUCUUCUGGAGUCAUUCAGGGAGAAGAUUUCAAUAGCACUGACUAGCACACAGAAGGAACUGAUCUCAUAAAAGUGGUCUGCUAGUGUUUGUAACAAAAAUACACUAGAAAGUUUAAAAUCUACAUAGUUUAGUAUAAAAAAAUUGGAGAUUAGUUCUCUCAGAGAGAAGGGAUGGCUGAUAAGAUCGGGGAUUGUGUGCCAGUAUUUUUUUCCUCCCAAAAAGGAUUGCCUUAGUAAAAGCAUACAGAAUCAAAGCCUAAUGGCUAGGGCCCUACCAAAUUCACAGCCAUGAAAAACAUGUCACAAAUUGUUAAAUCUGGUCUUUUGUGUGUUUUUACCCUAUACUCCCCUGUAAAAUCUGUAUAAACCAGUGUUUCUCAAAUUGGGAGUUCAGACCCAAAAGGGAGUUGCAGGAGGUCACAAGGUUAUUUUAGGGGGUCGUGGUAUUGCCACCCUUACUUCAGGACAGCUGGAGAGUGGCUGCUGCUGGCCAGGAGCCCAGCUCUGAAGGCAGUGCCCUGCAAGCAGCAGUCAAGGUGGCAAUACCAUACCAUGCCACUCUUACUUCUGUGCUGCUGCUAUCAAAGCUGGGCAGCUGGAGAGUGGCGGCUGCUGACUGAGGGCCCAGCCGUUUUGUUGGGAGUCACGAACAACCUCCAUUCCUGAGGUGUUCAAUUAUUCUGAGCUUCUACUGUAUGUUUUUAGCUCUCAAGCUUUAAGGGGGUCGGAUACGUUGACUCUUUAAUAUUUUGGUUAAAGGAUGUGUGUGUUAGUCACCCUUCCUUCAGAUGCUCAACUUUCACUUAGUUCUUGUGAUGUCCUUAUUUCUCCAGCUUUCCAGUCAUCAAAACCUGAAUUUCUAAUGUACACAACAAGCAAA
This is an RNA transcript of Emys orbicularis (European pond turtle), 1891 nucleotides long. It is a transcript of the gene named CEBPZ opposite strand, with no coding region annotated. The record is from RefSeq and is a predicted model, not a curated record. The transcript has 6 exons. NCBI's taxonomy places the organism in Eukaryota, Metazoa, Chordata, Testudines, Emydidae.